This 439-nucleotide long non-coding RNA is filed under the name Mytilus galloprovincialis (Mediterranean mussel). Lineage: Eukaryota; Metazoa; Mollusca; Bivalvia; Mytilida; Mytilidae. The record is from RNAcentral.
GUUUUUUCAGAGGAGUUGAGAUGACAAACUGUUGCAGAAGUACAUUGAAGCAAAUAUGUUCAAAGGGGCGUAACUCCUAGAAAUAAAAUUGAAUCGUAAUUUUCCGUCGAUAUGCACAACUACAUAGUAUGUCCUUAUUAUCUGAAAAGGUUUCAUGAAAUUCUGUAGUGUAGUUUCAGAGGAGUUGCGAUGACAAACUGUUGCAGUAGUACAUUGAAGCAAAUAAGUUCAAAGGGGCGUAACUCCUGGAAAUAAAAUUGAAUCGUAAUUUCCCGUCGAUAUGCACAACUACAUGAUAUGUCCUUUUCAUAUAAAAAGAUUUCGUGAAAUUCUAUUGUGUGGUUUGAGAGGAGUUGCGAUGACAAACUGUUGCAGUAGUACAUAAAGGAAAUAAGUUCAAAGGGGCGUAACUCCUAGAAAAAAAAUUGAAUCGCAAUUU